GAUGAACGCUGGCGGCGUGCCUAAUACAUGCAAGUCGAGCGAACAGAUGAGGAGCUUGCUCCUCUGACGUUAGCGGCGGACGGGUGAGUAACACGUGGAUAACCUACCUAUAAGACUGGGAUAACUUCGGGAAACCGGAGCUAAUACCGGAUAAUAUAUUGAACCGCAUGGUUCAAUAGUGAAAGACGGUUUUGCUGUCACUUAUAGAUGGAUCCGCGCCGCAUUAGCUAGUUGGUAAGGUAACGGCUUACCAAGGCAACGAUGCGUAGCCGACCUGAGAGGGUGAUCGGCCACACUGGAACUGCGACACGGUCCAGCCUCCUACGGGAGGCAGCAGUAGGGAAUCUUCCGCAAUGGGCGAACGCCUGACGGAGCAACGCCGCGUGAGUGAUGAAGGUCUUCGGAUCGUAAAACUCUGUUAUUAGGGAAGAACAAAUGUGUAAGUAACUAUGCACGUCUUGACGGUACCUAAUCAGAAAGCCACGGCUAACUACGUG
Molecule: ribosomal RNA, 497 nt
Filed under: uncultured bacterium
Lineage: Bacteria
Description: partial 16S ribosomal RNA
Rfam family: Bacterial small subunit ribosomal RNA
Source: RNAcentral